Molecule: ribosomal RNA, 22 nt
Filed under: Parazoanthus axinellae
Lineage: Eukaryota; Metazoa; Cnidaria; Anthozoa; Zoantharia; Parazoanthidae
Description: partial 18S ribosomal RNA
Source: RNAcentral
CCUGCGGAGGAUCAUUACCGUU